Molecule: ribosomal RNA, 332 nt
Filed under: uncultured bacterium
Lineage: Bacteria
Description: bacterial SSU rRNA
Rfam family: Bacterial small subunit ribosomal RNA
Source: RNAcentral
CGCGUAGGCGGGAUGGCAAGUCGGUCGUGAAAUCCUUCGGCUCAACCGAAGAACGUCGGCCGAUACUGCCGUUCUCGAGGGAUGCAGAGGAGACUGGAAUUCCCGGUGUAGCGGUGAAAUGUGUAGAGAUCGGGAGGAACACCGGUGGCGAAGGCGGGUCUCUGGGCAUCUCCUGACGCUGAGGCGCGAAAGCGUGGGGAGCAAACGGGAUUAGAUACCCCGGUAGUCCACGCCAUAAACGAUGACGACUAGGUGUGGGGUGGUUCAGUCCACUCCGUGCCGCAGCUAACGCAUUAAGUCGUCCGCCUGGGGAGUACGGCCGCAAGGUUGAA